UACGUAGGGUGCAAGCGUUAAUCGGAAUUACUGGGCGUAAAGCGUGCGCAGGCGGUUUUGUAAGUCUGUCGUGAAAUCCCCGGGCUCAACCUGGGAAUUGCGAUGGAGACUGCAAGGCUAGAAUCUGGCAGAGGGGGGUAGAAUUCCACGUGUGAGCAGUGAAAUGCGUAGAGAUGUGGAGGAACACCGAUGGCGAAGGCAGCCCCCUGGGUCAAGAUUGACGCUCAUGCACGAAAGACGUGGGGAGCAAACGAGGAUAGAGUACCCGUAGCAUCCGAAUCACCAGUUCCCCGUA
RNAcentral lists this ribosomal RNA (295 nucleotides) under uncultured bacterium. Its description in RNAcentral is "partial 16S ribosomal RNA". It matches the Rfam family "Bacterial small subunit ribosomal RNA", at positions 524 to 795 of the family's 1533-position model. The record is from RNAcentral.